GAUGAACGCUGGCGGCGUGCCUAAUACAUGCAAGUAGAACGCUGAAGGAGGAGCUUGCUCUUCUGGAAGAGUUGCGAACGGGUGAGUAACGCGUAGGUAACCUGCCUCUUAGCGGGGGAUAACUAUUGGAAACGAUAGCUAAUACCGCAUAAAAGUCGACAUUGCAUGAUGUUGACUUGAAAGGUGCAAUUGCAUCACUAAGAGAUGGACCUGCGUUGUAUUAGCUAGUUGGUGAGGUAACGGCUCACCAAGGCGACGAUACAUAGCCGACCUGAGAGGGUGAUCGGCCACACUGGGACUGAGACACGGCCCAGACUCCUACGGGAGGCAGCAGUAGGGAAUCUUCGGCAAUGGGGGCAACCCUGACCGAGCAACGCCGCGUGAGUGAAGAAGGUUUUCGGAUCGUAAAGCUCUGUUGUAAGAGAAGAACGAGUGUGAGAGUGGAAAGUUCACGCUGUGACGGUAUCUACCAGA
This 474-nucleotide ribosomal RNA is filed under the name Streptococcus sp. oral taxon 057. RNAcentral's name for it is "bacterial SSU rRNA". It matches the Rfam family "Bacterial small subunit ribosomal RNA", at positions 28 to 487 of the family's 1533-position model. The record is from RNAcentral. Lineage: Bacteria; Bacillati; Bacillota; Bacilli; Lactobacillales; Streptococcaceae.